UACGGGGGGGGCAAGCGUUGUUCGGAAUUACUGGGCGUAAAGGGCUCGUAGGCGGCCAACUAAGUCAGACGUGAAAUCCCUCGGCUUAACCGGGGAACUGCGUCUGAUACUGGAUGGCUUGAGUUUGGGAGAGGGAUGCGGAAUUCCAGGUGUAGCGGUGAAAUGCGUAGAUAUCAGGAGGAAUACCUAUGGCGAAAGCAGGUAUCUGGGCCAUCACUGACGCUGAGCUGCGAAAGCUAGGGGAGCAAACAGG
Molecule: ribosomal RNA, 253 nt
Filed under: uncultured bacterium
Lineage: Bacteria
Description: partial 16S ribosomal RNA
Rfam family: Bacterial small subunit ribosomal RNA
Source: RNAcentral